AGCGAACGCUGGCGGCAGGCUUAACACAUGCAAGUCGAGCGGGCGUAGCAAUACGUCAGCGGCAGACGGGUGAGUAACGCGUGGGAACGUACCUUUUGGUUCGGAACAACACAGGGAAACUUGUGCUAAUACCGGAUAAGCCCUUACGGGGAAAGAUUUAUUGCCGAAAGAUCGGCCCGCGUCUGAUUAGCUAGUUGGUGAGGUAAUGGCUCACCAAGGCUACGAUCUAUAGCUGGUCUGAGAGGAUGAUCAGCCACACUGGGACUGAGACACGGCCCAGACUCUUACGGGAGGCAGCAGUGGGGAAUCUUGGACAAUGGCCGAAAGGCUGAAGCAGCAACGCCGCGUGGAGGAUGAAAUACUUUUGUAUGUAAACUCCUGUAAGAAGGGAAAAAUAUUCCGAUUUAUCGGGAUUGAUUGUACCUUCAGAGUAAGCCCCGGCUAACU
RNAcentral lists this ribosomal RNA (447 nucleotides) under uncultured bacterium. RNAcentral's name for it is "bacterial SSU rRNA". It matches the Rfam family "Bacterial small subunit ribosomal RNA", at positions 29 to 502 of the family's 1533-position model. The record is from RNAcentral.